This 253-nucleotide ribosomal RNA is filed under the name uncultured bacterium. RNAcentral describes it as "partial 16S ribosomal RNA". It matches the Rfam family "Bacterial small subunit ribosomal RNA", at positions 524 to 776 of the family's 1533-position model. The record is from RNAcentral.
UACGUAGGUGGCAAGCGUUGUCCGGAAUUACUGGGCGUAAAGGGUAUGUAGGCGGAAGUUUAAGUAGAAAGUGAAAGGUGAGAGCUCAACUCUGACAUUGCUUCCUAUACUGGACAUCUUGAGUUUCGGAGAGGAAGAUGGAACGACACGUGUAGCGGUGAAAUGCGUUGAUAUGUGUCGGAACACCAAUAGCGAAGGCAAUCUUCUGGACGAACACUGACGCUGAGAUACGAAAGCAUGGGUAGCGAACAGG